This is a long non-coding RNA of Tarenaya hassleriana, 193 nucleotides long. RefSeq lists it as uncharacterized. The record is from RefSeq and is a predicted model, not a curated record. The transcript is spliced from 3 exons. NCBI's taxonomy places the organism in Eukaryota, Viridiplantae, Streptophyta, Magnoliopsida, Brassicales, Cleomaceae.
AGAGUGUGUAUAUCGAAGAUGAGACUCCCUCUCAUCAUCUCUGUUAUGGUCAUAUUUCUUAUAUUUUCAUCAGUUCAAUGUAUUCGAUUGGAAAAAGAGGUCAAAGAUAUAACCUCGCAUCAUAAAAUUAAUGUGAUUUCAAAUUCUGAUAUUACAACGACGGAAAAGGAAGAGCCGUUGAGAGAUAGUAAAA